GACGAACGCUGGCGGCGUGCCUAAUACAUGCAAGUUGAGCGAUGAAGAUUGGUUCUUGCACUAAUUUGAAGAGCAGCGAACGGGUGAGUAACGCGUGGGGAAUCUGCCUUUGAGCGGGGGACAACAUUUGGAAACGAAUGCUAAUACCGCAUAACAACUUUAAACAUAAGUUUUAAGUUUGAAAGAUGCAAUUGCAUCACUCAAAGAUGAUCCCGCGUUGUAUUAGCUAGUUGGUGAGGUAAAGGCUCACCAAGGCGAGGAUACAUAGCCGACCUGAGAGGGUGAUCGGCCACAUUGGGACGGGGACACGGACCAAACUCCUGCGGGAGGGAGCAGUAGGGAAUCUUCGGCAAUGGACGAAAGUCUGACCGAGCAACGCCGAGUGAGUGAAGAAGGUGUUCGGAUCGUAAAACUCUGUUGGUAGAGAAGAACGUUGGUGAGAGUGGAAAGCGCAUCGAGUGACGGUAACUACCCAGAAAGGGACGGCUAACUACGUG
This 497-nucleotide ribosomal RNA is filed under the name uncultured bacterium. RNAcentral describes it as "partial 16S ribosomal RNA". It matches the Rfam family "Bacterial small subunit ribosomal RNA", at positions 28 to 507 of the family's 1533-position model. The record is from RNAcentral.